GCGACGGACCUGCCGUGGCACCGCGGGGUCACCCACCGUGUGCUGGGGCCGUCGGGCUCUGCCCUCGCGGGCCUGGCAUUCUAGCUGGAGGCAGGCAGACAAGGUCGGUGAAAGAGAUGACCGGAGAGUUAGGCGUGCUAAGCGGAAAAAUGGGAGCUGUGAGCGGGAGGCGUGGGAGGGUCGCCGCUUUAAAUAAGAGCGCCAGGACAGGCCUCCUGCGGAGGGGACUAUGCUGUGAAGGCUCAGAUAGUGACGUGUGAAGGACGUCGGAUAAUUAUGAAAUUAAUUGUAAUGAGUCAAAGUCAUUUUUCAUUUAAACUAAUUCAGUUAAUUCUAGCUUUAAAAUGUUUUAAUUUUAAUUAGAGUUGACAUUCAAAAUUAUACAAUAUAGUGAUUAGACAUUUGUAUACCUUACGAAGCCAUCCACUGAUUAGCGACCUCUGGCACCACACAGUUUUUACAAUAUUAUUGACCGUCUUCCCCACGCCAGUGGCUGUUUCGUAGCUGCCAAUUUGUACUCUUAAUCCCUUCACCGUUUUUACCGAGGCUCCCAGCCCCGCUCUCAUUUGGCAGCCAUCAGUUCAUUCUAGCCUUUUUGAAUUCAUUCAUAAGCUAAGCUUAUAGCUAAUAAUGAGAUCAGAAUUCGUGCCAUGGUAAAUAUAGUUUUUAGAUUAUUCAAGAUGCUGGGGUAGGGGUAGGAGGAGGGCAAUUUCUAGGUCAAAUAACAGCACUGUAAUGGCUGCUAGAGAUUUUAUGGAGAAGGGUAGAUGUGCUGACCCUAUGGGGUCAAAUUCACAUUUGUAUGGCUUGAUCGUCUGUAUAAAUAUUUAGUUGUGUCAAUCAGAAUGUAUAAAUAAAUGUGUUCACUAAACACAAAUCAUGACGCUAAUAACAUGUUAGUAAACAACGUCAACAGAUUUAUUACCCUAUCUCAGGUUAGACCGAAACUGAUUGGAAGUCAGUUGUACUAUUUAGUACUAAAGGAACGUAACCCUCACCGACUACGAGGGCAGGCGAAGCCUGCGGACCACCCUAGCGGCCAAGGAAGCGAACACACUGUCACCUGACUAAACGUUUCUCUAGAGGAAAGAAAACACCCGUGAAGUUAGUGAGUCUGUGGGGAAUCUCUUCCGUAAAGCAGGCAUCUGCGGUCGGCCCAGGAGUUCGAUCCAUGGUUCAGGAAAAAGAAGCGGGCCUGGCUGAAAGCAGUCCAACCGCUGGUGGGCAGCCACACCUCCCGUUAGACGUCUCCUUCCAGACAGCGAGCAGGAGAGCCACGGGGCCCAGGUAACAGGUGAGGGAGGGGGGACAGGGAGAGGCUGCGAAGGCAGGGCCUGCCUGCCCCACAGCUGAAGGUUCAGGGGCACAAUUUGCAAUGGGUUCAAGGUCAGAGUCAAGCUCUCUGUACAGAACUUAUCUGUCAGAAUGCCGCAGAGAUAGGCUUUCCAUUUUAAUUUUUCCAUUAGAGUUGACAUUCAGUAUUACUUUAUGUUUCAGGGGUACAGCCUAGUGGUUAGACAUUUUUAUAACUUACAGAGUGGUCCCCCUAGUGGCCACCUGGCACCACAGUUAUUACGGUGUUACUGGACUCAUUCCGUGUUGCACUUCACAUCCCUGCGACUUCUGCAGAGAUGGACGUUUUGAUUUUGGCCUCCACGUUGUCUUAAACUGGUUAAGGUUGCAAGGGAUGCAUCUAACUUGUGAAAUGCUUAGUUUGUCAGAUGUUACAAAAGACAAAAGCACAAGGUCCUGUCUGCUCCCCAGGGGUGAGUAGUUCAGGCCUCUGGUAAGCGUUGCCGACAGGACUGUCUGUGCACACGUUCACACGCAUCGUCAGGCGCUCGGUCCCUAGCGGCUUACACUGCUCCUGCCGCUUUGCCUACUUAACACCUCGUGGACCCAGCCACACUGGGGAAAAGUUGUUGCCCUUCUGUGCCAGACGGCGUGCCGAGUCCUGGGCCAUCGACAGUGAGUUAACGGCCCUCCGUGAGCUUCUGAAGUCUGUCCUCUGCUGGCCUGCGUUUCCCGGAGGCACAGGAAGGUGGUCACCUGCCCCAGGCUGGUGGCAGAGGGAGGUGCUGGGGUCUCGGCCAAAGGAUCUGGAGUCCUGUCAACCUCCCACGCCACACCCACAGCCUCCCCCGUCUCACCCGCUGUGGAAUGACGCCGGCCUGUGCUAGGCACGGGGACGCCCUCCUUUUUAUUUUAAUCAUUAAGCCAAAAACUGUCAUCGUAUCGUACAUUGAAUUUAAAUUGGGGAGCUCAUUUCUUCACGUUGAUUUAUACAAGCUUUUUAUAUAUUAGAUUACUUAAAAGGUUAUGGGCAUUGAAUUAAAAAGAACACAUGUUGAUUAGAAAUUGCAUAUGGCAAGAGUCUCCUUGCAGACCGCCCAGGCGUGCAGCAGGGCUGGAGGCGCCCCAUCACUCCGUGGAGUCCGAGCCUUCGAGCGGAGCACUUGGCUUGGCUCUGUUGCAGGAAGUGACACCCGACGGAGGAAUCUGGACCCUCAGACAACUUCCUUAGAGGAAGGAGAAUUUAUUGCCAGCCGAGAGCGUGGGGUGAACACCAAGCGCGAGCUCCCCUCGAACCCGUGACCUUGGCGUUAUCAACACUGUUACAGGAUUCUCGAACGGAGAGACGGGACUCCUAGGCCGUAAGCGGGGAGCAGCACUUACUGACGCCGGCACCGGCUGGCGGGUCCCUCUCCAAAGGCUGAGCCCCGGCUGUAGCGUAACAGGCAGCUUUACACGGGCUCGUUCUUCCCGCACAGCUGCAGAGGCAAGAGCAUGAGCUGGUCGGCGAGCUGCGAAUCGGCAGAUGGGCUGUAACAGGACGGGUCUCCACUCCCUCCCCUGACCUCUGCCUCCAUGGUCACCAUCGCCUUCCCCGAGACCUCGCCCGGCCCGCGCCCGGCCCCAGGAGGCCAGCGCCUUCGCUCCCGCGGGAGCCAGUGGUGCUGACUUUCGGGGCGCACAUCCCGGUCGCUCCGUGUUCUCUGCUCUGAGCUGCUCUCCCGUGAGCGCGUUGUACGGGUCCGGUGGCGCGUGCUGCAGAAUUUUAAAGCUUCUCCGUUUAUGAACAUGAGUCCUUUUUGGGUCCCUGACACGUCACCCUGCCCUCGUCCCAUCACCGUGUAACAGCGACCACACGUUUAGUGGCCAAUGCGGAGCAGCACGUUUGUGAUCUCAGGUCCCGCAGGUCGAGUCCAGGCUGACACCAGCUGUCCGCCGGGCCCUGCCGUCCUCCAGGCCGCCCGGGUUGUGGGGAAGAGCACGACUUUGUGGGUCCAGGGCUAUCUGCAGGGGCGCUUGGAGCUCCUCUCGCAACAUGGUAGGAUUUGUUUUCAAAAUUUUUUAAAAACUGCAAUUGAUAUGGUGGCUUCUUCACAGCCACCUCACACUUCGCCUUUCCUGAAAGACCUCUCUGAUCAGGUCAGGCUCACCCAGGAUGAUGUCCAUUUCGAUUACUCCAAAGCAGGGGAUUACUAAUGGGAGUGACGAGUGCCGUGCAUCCUGUUCACAGGUCCCGCCCACACUCACGGCAGAGGUGGGGGCCCUCUGAGAACCCAGCCUCCCUCGUCCCCACGGCGCCUCCAGGCGGGAGUCACGCCUCUACCUCGCCGGGUCCGAGUUCUCCCGGCUUGCCUUGCGGCAUUCUCCGGCCUCUCACUUAUGCUGCGAAUGUUCUCUGAGCUUCCCACUUGUUUUACAUUUCUUUACAGAGGACUUGGGGAGAGACUGUACAUUUUCGCGUAGUCAAAUCCUUCACUGUUUCCUUUUCAUGUCUUUGUUUUGAAGCUUAGGAAGGUGUCCCCCAAUGAGGAAUCAGAUUAAAACUUACAUCUUACUUUUUCGUAGUCACUUUUUAUAUUCAUUGUCAUCCAUCUGGAAUUUAUCUGAGCAUACCGGUUAGAUCUAACUUACGUGCUCCCUUAAAAUGGUAAGCAAUGUUCCUAGUGUCAUUUAUUGUGUAACCCUUCCUUUUCCCACUUAACUUUUGGUGCCACUAAUUUUAUGUACAUGCGCCUACAUAUAUCCAUAUGAGGGGCUCAUUCUCAUCUAUAUUUUCAAUUCCAUUGGCCUGUUAUUCUUGUUCUGCAACUACAUGAAUUUAAUUACUAUAAUUUUUGAUACAUUUUAAAACUUUUAUUUUGAAAUGAUAAAUUCACAGAAAGUUGCAAAGGAGCACAGAGGGGUCGCGUGGACCCCGCCUGGUCUCCCCCAGUGGUAGCACCUUAUAACUCCAGCACGAGGCUGAUGCCAGGCACCGGCCCUGGCACAGUGUGUGUGCUGUGCCAUCCUAUUACCUGUGACCGUCACCAAGGUCGAGACACAGCUGUCCAUCACCGCAAAGACCUGCUGCAUGGCGCCACUGUACAGUCACCCCACCCCGCACCCUCCCCCCCUCGCCAUCCCUAAACCCUGGCAACUCCUGGUCUGUUCUCCACCUCAGUGAUUUUGUCAUGUGGAGAAUGUUAUGUAGCGGGAAUCAUAAAGCAUGUGACCUUUUGAAAUUGGUCUUUUUCACUCAGCCUAUUUUUAAUAGCUGAUAAAUAUUCCUUAAAUUUCUCUUUUCAAAACUUUCUUGCAAUUAAGCAUACUCUGCCUUAAAACAGUAACUCAUGGGAGUAUUCAGACACAUGGCGAGUAUAACGAGUACCAUAUGUGCGUCAUCCAAUGUUUCCAAUAUUGGAUCAAUCAAUAUGUUAUUUUGUUUUGCCUAUCACUUGUUUUUCUUCAAGCAAAUUUGAGACACAUAAUUUUAGCCAUAAAUAACACAGUAUACACCUAUCAGAUAAGGAUUUUUUUUAGCACAACCACAAUGGCAUUGUCACAUCCAGGAAAAUUACUAUUCAUCCUUUACUGUCAUCUAAUACUCAACGUGAUUCUCUCAAGAGUGACUUUGCUGGGUCCACACACUGCAUUCGGUUUACAGUCUCUCAAGCCUUGUUAUAAAAGUCCUCUCUGCUAUGGACUGAAUAUCUGUCCCCCAUCCCCCUAUUCACAUAUCGAAGGCCUGACCUCCAGGUGUUCAGAGGCGGGGCCUCUGGGAGGUUAGGUUUAGAUGCAGUCACCACAGUGCAGGCGCCGUGGUGGGAUCAGCACCUUUUGAGAGGAGGGGAGACCACAGUCCUCUUUUCUUUGGCCACUUGAGGACACAGCAAUUAAACGACCAGGGAGGGUCCUCGCAGGAGCCCAAUCGGUGGCACCAGGUCGCGGGACUCCCAGCCUCCAGAAUUAUGAGAUGUCUGUCUAAGCCCCCAAGCCGGGGUGUUUUGUUAUAGCAGCUGGGACUGAGACGCCCUCCUUUUUUCUGUUACUCGUAGAAACACUGGGGUCAUUUUUUUCAGAAUUUCCAGCAUUUUGGAAUUGGCUGACUGCGAUCUUGUGGCACGUUAGCCUGCAUAAUGCGCACGCUUGUGGCUUUCCUGUACAUACAGAAGUGUACGUACAGGAAUACGUACAGGAAUAGAGCAGUCUGUCCAUCACACAGCUGCCAGCUUUAAAACACAGAUGUGAAAGAGAAGACCCUCCCCCCGCACCGCCCGGUUCAGACGUCCUUCCUGGCAGACUGUCUUUCUUCACGGUGGAUUCCUGGACGCCGUCCUCUGCAAGGCCGAGAGAGACCAGACCCUCGCCGCGUUCCCUGGAGUCUUUUCUGGGUUUGCUCAGUCUCUGUGCAGCAUGUAACACUGCCCCUGAGUUCGUCUUUCCUUUCUAACAGCUUUAUUGCAUUAUAAUUUACGUGCCAUAAAAUGCACCUGUUUAGAGCAUACAGUUCAAUGACUUUUGAUGAACUCUCAGAGUUGGGCAGCGGGUUUCAGGAACAUUCCCAUCACCCUCAAAGAACUCUUGUGCCUGUUUGCAGCCAAUCCCCGUUCUCACCCUUAGCCCGGAUUCCCUCUAUAUAAACGUGCCUUUUCUGGACAUUUCGUAUAAAUGGAAUAAUAAUGCACGUGGUCUUUA
This is a long non-coding RNA of Pteropus alecto (black flying fox), 5967 nucleotides long. RefSeq lists it as uncharacterized. The transcript has 6 exons. The record is from RefSeq and is a predicted model, not a curated record. NCBI's taxonomy places the organism in Eukaryota, Metazoa, Chordata, Mammalia, Chiroptera, Pteropodidae.